Molecule: long non-coding RNA, 590 nt
Organism: Xenia sp. Carnegie-2017
Lineage: Eukaryota; Metazoa; Cnidaria; Anthozoa; Malacalcyonacea; Xeniidae
Exons: 2
Source: RefSeq, a predicted model, not a curated record
AGUCAAUUGAGUUAUCUGCUUAUUGAUUUCUGUUCCUAUCGAACCCCAGUAGCGAUGCCAAGUGGGGGAACAGCCGUCUGCUCUUAUGCUAAGGAAAUGCGCAACGUCAUUCAAGAUCCUUUCUGUGAAAAUUUGUAAAGAUCUAUAUGAGCAGAUCUACUGAUGAGAAACCUUCAAAAAUACUAUACUGUCGGCGUUGAAAGGCAAGAAAUGAAGCAACGAUAACAAUUUUACAGGUUGUAAAACUUCGAUAUUUUAAACCUUGAAAUUAAAGGAUAUCGGAUUAAAAACAUCAGAUUAAGAAACCUUUGGAUCAUGUUAAUUAUAACCAUAAGAUUUUAAUUUCUCAUUAUUAAACCUCCAGAUAAAAACGCCAUCAGAUUAUCAAUCUUUGGACCAUGCUGUAAACUUUCGAUAAUAAAACCUUCAGAUUAACAAAAAUCUUCAGUUUAUUUCAAGAAGAAACUGUAUCAUACCUAAUGUUGGAUCGUACUCGUGGACGAACCUUCCUGUUACAUAACGAACAACCAAAGCUUGGAAAAAUUAAAAAAUUCUUUGUUAAUGUUGAAAUCAAAACAUAAAAACAUAAA